CCAGAGCAGUAUGAGUGCCACUGAAAAUCAGCUCGCAUGCUGCCUUCGGCACGCGUGCCAUAGGUUGCCUACCCCUGGUAUAGAAGAAAGACUCAAGCUCUAGCCUCCUGCUUGAAGCUGUUACUCCAGAGAUCGUUCCUCUGUACUGGGUUCCAUUGUUGCAUUGCCAGCUUUCAUGAAGACAGAAGACUGGGGGAGCCUAACGUGAUAAGGCCCAGCGACCUAUCCCCACAUCCUGUUUAGAAGACUAUUCCAGCCGCUGCCUACUUGGAGAUCAGAAGAAGGAUGACCAUAUUCAGAGGAUAUUAAUAUUUAUAGUAAUAUUCCCAGAUGG
Mauremys mutica (yellowpond turtle) is the source of this 334-nucleotide long non-coding RNA. RefSeq lists it as uncharacterized. The transcript has 3 exons. Lineage: Eukaryota; Metazoa; Chordata; Testudines; Geoemydidae. The record is from RefSeq and is a predicted model, not a curated record.